Long non-coding RNA from Panthera uncia (snow leopard), 718 nucleotides. RefSeq lists it as uncharacterized. The record is from RefSeq and is a predicted model, not a curated record. NCBI's taxonomy places the organism in Eukaryota, Metazoa, Chordata, Mammalia, Carnivora, Felidae. The transcript is spliced from 2 exons.
UAUCAUGGUAAUAGACAGGCAGAAACCUACCCUGUGCUGGUUGCUUGAUGUUUCAUGAAUUGCUCUCUUCACUAGACCAAAGGACAAAAGGAGACUUCUCUGUUGUACACAGUCUGUGGAUUUUAUAGUAUCUCUAAUACUAUGAAAGAGUUUAUUAUUCCAACAGCACUGGACAUAUUUGACUUAAAUUGAUCUACAGUGCCCUUGCCAAAAGAAAAGCAUUUGCUUUAUCUGAAUUAUUAUUAAUUAGCUUCCCACAAGCUGUAAAAUUGCCACAUGUGAACCUGCCCAAACAUAAGAUGGAAGUAAAUGAAGUGAUGGCUUGAGCAAUGAAAUAAAAUACAGGCAAGGUGCUUUUACUUCCUGGCACACAGGCCUUUCACCUCUCUGCCCUUUGCUACAGCAGAGAAGCCGACAUCUGAGUACUACAUGGAAGCUGCUGGGCCUCCUCAGUCAGGACACACUCCUCGACAUCUCUGCCUGGAAGUCAGUUUUCUGGGAUGGAAAGUGAACUCAUUCUCAUGAGCCAUUAAAUUCUCCAGUUUCGAAGGAGAGUCCUUUCUUCCUUGCAAUCGAGCUGUUGCCUCAUGAUGCAAAUUAAACUACUCUUUUCAGCUGAGGUAGGUCCCACGUUUGCUUUUCCAGAGAAUAGUUUUUGAGACCAAAUGGCCUGGAUUAAGAAAACUCCGUGAUAAUAAAAGAAUAACUAUAAUGUAUA